GCUUGUCUCAAAGAUUAAGCCAUGCAUGUCUUAGUGUAAAUAACUCUUAUGAAACUGCGAAUGGCUCAUUAAAUCACACCUAAUGUACUGGACAGUUUCAGUUACUUGGAUAACUGCGGUAAUUCUGGAGCUAAUACAUGCGCACAAGCCCCGACUCACGGAGGGGCGCUUUUAUUAGACUAAAACCAAACGGCCUCGGCCGUCCCACUGGUGAAUCUGAAUAACUUUGAGCGGAUCGCACGGCCUCGUGCCGGCGACGUGUCCUUCCAAGGUGUGCCCUAUCAACUGUCGACUGUGGCAUAGACGCCCACAGUGGUUUUGACGGGUAACGGGGAAUUAGGGUUCGAUUCCGGAGAGGGAGCCUGAGAAACGGCUACCACUUCUAAGGAAGGCAGCAGG
RNAcentral lists this ribosomal RNA (399 nucleotides) under Cyclops environmental sample. Its description in RNAcentral is "partial small subunit ribosomal RNA". It matches the Rfam family "Eukaryotic small subunit ribosomal RNA", at positions 30 to 432 of the family's 1831-position model. Lineage: Eukaryota; Metazoa; Arthropoda; Copepoda; Cyclopoida; Cyclopidae. The record is from RNAcentral.